This 474-nucleotide ribosomal RNA is filed under the name uncultured bacterium. RNAcentral's name for it is "bacterial LSU rRNA". It matches the Rfam family "Bacterial large subunit ribosomal RNA", at positions 1953 to 2426 of the family's 2925-position model. The record is from RNAcentral.
AAGGUAGCGAAAUUCCUUGUCGGGUAAGUUCCGACCUGCACGAAUGGCGUAAUGAUGGCGGCGCUGUCUCCACCCGAGACUCAGUGAAAUUGAAAUCGCUGUGAAGAUGCAGUGUACCCGCGGCAAGACGGAAAGACCCCGUGAACCUUUACUAUAGCUUGGCACUGGACUCUGACACUAUCUGUGUAGGAUAGGUGGGAGACUUUGAAGCGUGGUCGCUAGACUGCGUGGAGUCGACCUUGAAAUACCACCCUGGUGGUGUUGGGGUUCUAACGCUGACCCGUUAUCCGGGUUGCGGACAGUGUCUGGUGGGUAGUUUGACUGGGGCGGUCUCCUCCCAAAGAGUAACGGAGGAGCACGAAGGUACCCUCAGCAUGGUCGGAAAUCAUGCAAUGAGCGCAAUGGUAGAAGGGUGCUUAACUGCGAGACCCACAAGUCGAGCAGGUACGAAAGUAGGUCAUAGUGAUCCGGUGG